RNAcentral lists this small RNA (29 nucleotides) under Bombyx mori (domestic silkworm). RNAcentral describes it as "ovarian small RNA-23763". The record is from RNAcentral. Lineage: Eukaryota; Metazoa; Arthropoda; Insecta; Lepidoptera; Bombycidae.
UAUCUCGAAUUAAAUGUCCAGUCUAUUUC